Molecule: long non-coding RNA, 1438 nt
Filed under: Gouania willdenowi (blunt-snouted clingfish)
Lineage: Eukaryota; Metazoa; Chordata; Actinopteri; Blenniiformes; Gobiesocidae
Description: lncRNA (ENSGWIG00000022164.1)
Source: RNAcentral
AUGUCUUCAAUUACCCAUGUUCAAUUACAAUUCAUCACAAUUACUGAGCCUGGAAUUAUUCACCUAAUAAAAGUUAACCUUCCUCUUGUGUUAGCAUCUGUCAUGAUAACAGGUCCUAAAUCAACUGUAAAAUACAAAAAAAUAAACAGUUUUCAUAGAAAUUACUGUACAAUUACAGUCAAUUAUCUAAACUCAAUUACAAUUGCAUUACAAUUACAACAGCAACAGAUUUUCAAAAUUACAAUUAUAAUUAACCCCAACCCUCGGAGGUAAAUAAUAUGAUGGGUGACACAAGCUAGUCAAAUAUUGCGACAGUUAGUGGUACCGAAUCAUUGACACAUACCAAUACAUGAAUGGGGCCCAUUACUCCGUAUGUGCUCCGUAUAUGGGGUAAUUUACGGUAAUUUUUAAAUUUUGCAGUACAUAGUCAUGUGAUAUAUCGUUUCAAAGGCAAUUCAACAGUUAUACGUUGCACAAUUUCAUUUGUUUUACUUUUCAUUUGACUAAAUUCUUGCAAACGUGGUACGUGCUAUUUGGCACGAAGACGUUUCACGGCCGUAGAUUUGUAAACACUUGUUUACAAAUCAGUCCAUAGCAUGUGUUUACAUAUUUUAUCCCUGGUGUGAAAAAAAAGUGUUUGUCAUUGUCAUUUUCUAUUUCUUCUCCAUGACUAUAAAGUUGCAAUAGUAACUCAUUUCGAUUAAGUUCUUUGACUUUCUUGCCAAAAUUACACUUUUCUUACUUUUUGCUGUGUUUUGCUGACCCACGAUAAUAGGUUAGUAAAUCAGUGAUGCACACAAUGCUCUGGUGGUAGAUAAGCAGCAGAAUCAAAGUUGCCUUUCCUCAGGGAAAAAGGAAAAAAAAAAAAAGCCUGUGUGGAUUUUCCCCUUCAUUGCUAAUUCAUUCAUAAACACCUUGCUUUCCUCGACCUAUUAAGCACACAAGUACUUGAAUUCAGUGUUUGGUACACCAGCAAACAUCAAAGUAAACACAGAUUGUGAUCAGAAUGUUAUUAAAGGUUGUUUAUUGGAGCUUCUAAUACACUCGACUCUAUCUGCACCAUUACAACAAAUUGGAAAACCUGACAGUCGAAGGAUUCAGGCCAAAAAGUGGGCUGUUGGGGAAUUUAUCACAAAUGACCCAGAUUAGGAACAUCAUGCAACAUGUUAUGUCUUUAAAUCACUCUUUACUCCUGCUCUACACAUGGUUUAUGAUUCUGUAUAGUAUUGAAAACUCAAAUUGCAAUCGUAGAUUCGGUUUUCUUUGCUGCUGAAAACAAAUGUUUUUGUUGAAGCCAAAGGCUGGGCUGCUUUUAACUGAUUUAGUGCAUUUGGAUAUGUUGGCUUUUUUCUUAAGAAUUUUAUAUUUCGAUAAACGCUACGAGAUGACUAUUGUUGUAAUUUGCGUCAUAUAAAUAAAGUUGAAUUGAAUAACUACA